RNAcentral lists this ribosomal RNA (519 nucleotides) under uncultured bacterium. RNAcentral's name for it is "bacterial SSU rRNA". It matches the Rfam family "Bacterial small subunit ribosomal RNA", at positions 382 to 916 of the family's 1533-position model. The record is from RNAcentral.
CCUGACCCAGCGACACCGCAACCCAGGAUGACGCAUUUCCGUGGGUGAACUCCUUUUAUAGGGGAAGAUAAUGACCGUCCCUUAUGAAUAAACACCGGCUAACUCCGUGCCCGCCCCCCCGGUAAUACGGAGGGGGCACGCGUUACUCGAAAUCACUGGGCGUAAAGGAUGCGUAGGCUGUAAUAUAAGUCAAAAGUGAAAUCCAUCGGCUUAACCGUUGAACUGCUUUUGAAACUGUUUUACUACAAUAUGAUCCAGGUAGAUGGAAUUUUUUUGUGUUCGGGUAAAAUCCGUACAUAUCACCAGGAAUACCGAUUGCGAAGGCGAUCUACUGGAACAUUAUUGACGCUGAGGCAUGAAACCGUGGGGACCAAACCGGAUUAGAUACCCUGAAAGUCCACGCCCUACACGAUGCACACUAUGUGUUGCGAUGCUCUCCUUUGCAAUAAUGGACUUAACAGAUUAAGUGUGUUGCCUGGGGAGCACGGUCGCAAGAUUAAAACUCAAAGGAAUUGACGG